Apis cerana (Asiatic honeybee) is the source of this 2938-nucleotide long non-coding RNA. RefSeq lists it as uncharacterized. Lineage: Eukaryota; Metazoa; Arthropoda; Insecta; Hymenoptera; Apidae. The record is from RefSeq and is a predicted model, not a curated record.
UACUCGCUUCAACUUUAUUAUACUCCAAUUACAAGUUUCAUCGAAUCCAAUCCUUGGUCACAAUAACAGAAGUCUCGAUUGGUCUCGCCUCUGAACUUUCACGCAACUUGGUACAACAUCACAGAUUCGUACUAUUUCUCCACUAGCUUACGAACCAAUUCACCAAAACCUAACCUAACCGUAGCAUCAAUAAUCUUCCUUAUCUAAUAAUUUAACCCGAUAAAGAUGACUUGGAACUCGAUAUUCGUCGAACAAUGGGCCAGUCUCGAGCGAAAGUCGAUUAGACACGGUUGAUGAUCCCGAGUUAAUAGAAUAGAAAAGCAAGAAUCGAGGCUCGAUAAACGCGGCCCAGUUUUCCACACCGAUUAUUCGCAGCUAAUAUCGUUUCUGCCUCGAAACUAGUUUAAUUUCCGCCGAUGAUAAACUGGAUACGUGGCUGGUAUCAACCAACCUCGCAUUGUCGGUUUCCAGGAUAGAUAAAGCGUGAUCACAUGCACCGAAAAUGCGCUCGACCGCACGAACGAGUUCCAGUGGGGUCAGUAGAGAAUUUGUUUGAUUUGUUUCGUUGAUCUAAAGUGGUUGACUUUGAUGAUGAAGCGAACCGUGAGUUUGUUAGUGACAGUGUCGUUACUAUUUUGUUUUCGAAUGAUUUGUGAUAAAGUGUGUGUUAGAUACGCGUGUGAAAACAGAUUUGGAUGAAAUUUAUUUCAAAUGAUCAUUUAGAAAAGAAAAUUUUACAUGAAGGUUAUUUGAUAAAUAAUGUGUUUCAAUUGAGGUUAUGUUAUUUUGGUUAGUCGAAUUUGAGAUAAUAGGCAAACAUUUUUAUCAUAAAUUUAAAACAUUUGAAAUAUAUUAAAAAAUUCGUAUACUGAACGAUUAUAAAAUAAAAAAAAAAGGUUAUUUGUCUAUUUGUUUCGAGGAUACAGAAUUUUUUAAAGAAUAAAUUAACACCCCGAUAUUUGCACUCUAAAUUAGGAUCAUAAUCUCGAGAAUCUCUGCAUGAAGCAAAAAAAUAGUAAACAAUUGAAGGAAACUAGUUGUACAAUGAGAGAAAAUAAAAUACCUGACAUAAAACAAAAGCGAAAUUGCUUUUUGACAAAUCCACAUUGUACGAAUGCGGGGGAAAAAAGGAAGGGGAGAGGGGGAAAGGAAAUAAAAGAAAAGAACCGAGAACACGUUCAUAAAACGUCAUCCGUGAGAGGCAAGGCAGAAGAAGAAGAUAGAAACAAAAAGGAGGGCACUCGUGGCGACCACGAAAAACGAGGAACCACUUGUCAGCCCAGAAAACACGAACCUUCCCUAUGACCGUCUCGGCCAACGAGGAGAAAAUAGCUGAAAAAAGAGGAAAAUGUGGAAAACGCGUGUUGAAGAAUGGGACGUUUGUCCUCGAGGAAAGAGGAAAGGCUAAGAACAUCUUCGCAGGAAUACAAAAGUGCAUAUUAUUUUUUUGUAACCAGAGACAAGGAGGAACGAGAAACGAAGAAGAAGCUAGAAGAAAGUAAAAGGAAAAGAAAUAACUAGAAAAAAAGAGAGAGAAAGGGAGAAAAAGAUAAGAGGGGAAAAGUCAAGAUGGGAAGCAAGCCGCGUCAGCGCGCUUUUGUUAAAGAAUAACUUUCCUCUCGUUGCGAUUUUUGCACAGCGAUCGUCCAACCAGCAAUGAUUGAUGCGCUGAGAAAAGUGGAAAAAGAGAGUAUCGAAGGAAAAACCGGAUCGAUUCGAGUCAAGCGAUCUAUUCUAAAUUUCCUGUUUGCCGGUACGUGAUUCAUUUUGGUAUCUAUAUAAUAUUAAAAUCCGAUACAAAGUUAUGGAAAAGAUAGCCGAACGACUAAUUAAACCAUACAAUAUCCUUCACCUUCGUCACGAUAGGGAAAAGCAUAAUUUUUCAAAGAAAAAACAAAGGAAACGUAGGGGAAAGAGAGGAGGCAUCAUUGAGAAAGUUGAUUACGCCCCUAAUAAUUUGCGUCUCCACGUCUAAAGAGAGGAACAAAGGAGUUGCAGGGAAACAGACGGUCCGUUCUGUUGCUCCUGCGUUCCUUCUACAGGAAACACAGUCGCUCUGACGUUACAUAAUUUCCAAUUAGUCGACUGGGAGCAGGCGGAGGAUACAGAAUCUAUGAAGCAAAUGAAACGUGAAAGAAGAAUGGAUAAUGAUGUCUCCGUUAAAUAGGAAUUUUGGGAUUGAAACAUGAACAUACAUGUGUGUGUUGUCGCUCUCUGUGUUAGUCGACAAACAAAAUAACCACGUCUCAUGGUCGAAAGCGAGCGGAAACAGAAUGGUUGCCACGAGUUGAUCGGUGAAGUGUAACGCGGAUCCAUAAGUCAUGAGAUGAAGCACGUUCAAACGACCCUCGACAAACUGAACGAGCGUUGACACGAUGUAAAAGACGCGAGAACACGAGUAUUUACCCAUGUUCAACCUUUGCUCUUUUUCUAAUUUCUUCUGUGUUUAUUUCUUUAAAAUUCCUGAAUCAUUUACUUACAAAUCAAUUAUAGAUAUAUUCUUGGUUUUUGAAUUUUUUCUUUUUAAUUUAUAUUAAUUAUUUAAAAAAAAUAGAUACUCCAUUAUAUUUCAAUUUAAAAUUUAAUAAUAGUUCUGCCUUUUUUUUUAAUUGUCUGUCUUCUAGUUAAAAUAUUUUUUUCCUUUUUUUUAUUUCAUUCGAGAGAUUUGUUAUUCUCCUUUUACGUAAUCAAAUAGCCAGAAACAAACUCGUAUUGCGACUUUUAUUUCGUUCUCUAUUACGCCAUACGGGGAAUUGAAAAAAAAGAAAAAAUAGAAUGAAACUGUUUCAAUAAAAAUUAUGAAACACAAGGAUAAUUAACGAAUUGUAAAUGAAGUAAGAAAUAAAGAAAAAAAUUUUAGAGAAACAUACAAUAUACAAUAUUAUAUAUAUAAUAUAAAAUAAAAUCGUUCUUCAUUUAACUAAUUAUUAUUCUUUUC